This 435-nucleotide ribosomal RNA is filed under the name uncultured bacterium. RNAcentral describes it as "partial 16S ribosomal RNA". It matches the Rfam family "Bacterial small subunit ribosomal RNA", at positions 29 to 507 of the family's 1533-position model. The record is from RNAcentral.
AACGAACGCUGGCGGCAGGCUUAACACAUGCAAGUCGAACGCAUGCCUUCGGGCAUGAGUGGCAGACGGGUGAGUAACGCGUGGGAACCUACCCCUUGGUACGGGAUAGCUCCGGGAAACUGGAGAUAAUACCGUAUGUGUCCUGAGGGACAAAGAUUCAUCGCCAAGGGAUGGGCCCGCGUCGGAUUAGCUAGUUGGUGGGGUGACGGCCUACCAAGGCGACGAUCCGUAGCUGGUCUAAGAGGAUGAUCAGCCACAUUGGGACUGAGACACGGCCCAAACUCCUACGGGAGGCAGCAGUGGGGAAUAUUGGACAAUGGGCGCAAGCCUGAUCCAGCCAUGCCGCGUGAGUGAUGAAGGCCCUAGGGUUGUAAAGCUCUUUCACCGGUGACGAUAAUGACGGUAACCGGAGAAGAAGCCCCGGCUAACUUCGUG